AAUGACUGGGAGGGAUUUUCCAGAAGAUUACAGUCUUAAAGACUGUGAGAUGUUUUUUAUGUCAUACAAUAUUUAUUACAAUAAGGCAUGAUUUUCCCUGGAAUGACUGUCUGCUAAUGGGCUAAAUGAAUAAGCAAGUAACUCGUUCACAAACAGCAUCAUUAGGAGCUGAGGGAGUGAGUCUCCUUCCGUGUGGCCUGUUUUGCAUCUCACAAGUUUGGAAGAGACAAAAGUAAUGAAAAAAAGAAGUAGAAGAACAGUUGGACCUGUAUAACACCUAGCUUUCCAUUUGAGGACUGCCAAGUUUAUGAUAACCAUGACAGAAUCUACCAUGGAGAGUCACUUGUCAAAUUUUAUCCCAUCUAGUCCAGGAAAAGGCAAACUGCGAAAGAGGAUGUCUUUGUAAGGCGGGUGAAAAUUGUGAAAGCCAGCAAAGGAGAGAUUUGGAAGGAAACUAUGAAGGAAAGCAUUCUCCCAGGGUCCGAACGCCCAUAAGCUGACACUGUACUGCACAAAUCCAGACCUGCACUUCCUUGCACCAGCUAGAGAAACAUUAAAAAUGGUGAUUCUGCUAUGUAAUUUGAACCCUUUUCAGAAAAAAGCCAACAACAAUACCACAAUACCAGAAUCAGAGGUGGAGUUCUUGUUUACAUCAGUUCAGCAAAGCAAAGCAUAUGAAAAAGCCCUCAAGUCUGACAAAACAGCGCACAAGGAGUUUCCUGGCCUGGUUUCUACUAAUAAAGUUAUGACAAAAGGAGAUUUUCAGGAGUCUUCAUUUGUAAUAUCUGUUCUCCACUACACUGCUUUAGUGAACUGGCAGAAACAAAGAUACUUGGUUUCAUCUCUGUCAGUAUCAACAGGACUUUAUAAAAGAUUUUAUAAAAAGUGUUUUGUCUUUCUGCAGUAAUAAAAGUAGUAACUUGGGUGCUCUACUGUUUUCUGAACAGUCCUCCACUUAUUUUUGUAUCACUAUAUAUUUCUGUGCUGUAUCCAGAUGUCAAAACAAUGAGCAUGGAGGGGGUGGGGGUGAAAGAAGUAAGUUAAGCACUCAAUACAAAUAUGGAUUAGUGGGUUAGCUUGAUGGGCUGCCUACUUGCAUAAAUCUCUCUAUAUAUUUGUUUUGCUCCCACUAAGACUUUGUUUACUCAAAUAGAUUCUGCAUUAUAUUGGUUUUGAUUCAUCAUUACUUCAUAAGCUGCUUUGAGAUAAAUUUACAGACCUGGAUGGUCUACAUAAAGCCAAAGUUUCUGCAAUUCUUUAAAAACAUUGGACAUCAACACUAUACUUUAGUCAGCUCUACUACUUCUGAUUUUCCUGGGUAAGGAACAUUGUCAGGAAUCUCUGCUGAUAUUGUCUUCUCUAUUAUUAUAGUACUUAAAGUUUGUACUGCAUUUUAAAUAAAUAAAACACAGACUUUUGAUUCUUCUGUCUA
RNAcentral lists this long non-coding RNA (1432 nucleotides) under Zonotrichia albicollis (white-throated sparrow). Its description in RNAcentral is "lncRNA (ENSZALG00000010997.1)". The record is from RNAcentral. Lineage: Eukaryota; Metazoa; Chordata; Aves; Passeriformes; Passerellidae.